UGAAACUUGUUUAUCUUGGCAAGGUGAAUUUUCCCGAAUAUAUUAGCCCAUGAUCCCGAGGUAAUUUCAUAUUUUCGUCUUACGAUUGCUUCCAAGUAGUAGUUAUUUUGUGUACUCGUCUAGAAAUAGUUCACAUUGCAAACUGUUNUUUCAUAUUUUCGUCUUACGAUUGCUUCCAAGUAGUAGUUAUUUUGUGUACUCGUCUAGAAAUAGUUCACAUUGCAAACUGUUCUACUUCCCAGAGUUGCAGGAACUGGCAAUCUGCAUUGUACUUGCUCAUCCUUCAUUAUGAAGGCGAUUAAGUUGAGUAAUAGUUUGGCUUAGCGUAAGCUGGAGCUAUAUAGCCAAUUAUAGGGAU
RNAcentral lists this long non-coding RNA (358 nucleotides) under Olea europaea (common olive). RNAcentral's name for it is "long non-coding RNA (OEUR_LNC005415)". The record is from RNAcentral. Lineage: Eukaryota; Viridiplantae; Streptophyta; Magnoliopsida; Lamiales; Oleaceae.